RNAcentral lists this ribosomal RNA (300 nucleotides) under uncultured Mucilaginibacter sp. RNAcentral describes it as "partial 16S ribosomal RNA". The stretch from base 52 to 300 matches the Rfam family "Bacterial small subunit ribosomal RNA", at positions 547 to 795 of the family's 1533-position model. The record is from RNAcentral. Lineage: Bacteria; Pseudomonadati; Bacteroidota; Sphingobacteriia; Sphingobacteriales; Sphingobacteriaceae.
GAUAAGGGUGUGGCGGAAGCGGGGGUAGAAGGGGGGGGGUAAGGGUUGUUCGGAAUUGUGGAGGGUAAAGGGGGUGUAGGCUGUUGCCUGAGUCUUCUGGGAAAGGGACGGGCGUAGGCUGUAACGGGCAGAGGAAACUGGGUGACUGGAGUGUCGGAGAGGAUAGGGGAAUACCCGGUGUAGAGGUGAAAGUCGUAGAGAUCGGGUGGAACACCAGUGGCGAAGGCGCCUAUCUGGCUGACAACUGACGCUGAGACUCGAAAGCAUGGGGAGCAAACAGGAUUAGAUACCCCAGUAGUC